This 253-nucleotide ribosomal RNA is filed under the name uncultured bacterium. Its description in RNAcentral is "partial 16S ribosomal RNA". It matches the Rfam family "Bacterial small subunit ribosomal RNA", at positions 524 to 776 of the family's 1533-position model. The record is from RNAcentral.
UACGAAGGGGGCUAGCGUUGUUCGGAUUUACUGGGCGUAAAGCGCGUGUAGGCGGGCCGUUAAGAUGGGGGUGAAAGCCCGGAGCUCAACUUCGGAAUUGCCUUCAUGACUGGCGGCCUGGACUCAAGGAGAGGCAAGUGGAAUUGCGAGUGUAGAGGUGAAAUUCGUAGAUAUUCGCAGGAACACCAGUGGCGAAGGCGACUUGCUGGACUUGUAGUGACGCUGAGACGCGAAAGCGUGGGGAGCAAACAGG